This 434-nucleotide ribosomal RNA is filed under the name uncultured Pseudobutyrivibrio sp. Its description in RNAcentral is "partial 16S ribosomal RNA". It matches the Rfam family "Bacterial small subunit ribosomal RNA", at positions 341 to 792 of the family's 1533-position model. Lineage: Bacteria; Bacillati; Bacillota; Clostridia; Lachnospirales; Lachnospiraceae. The record is from RNAcentral.
ACGGAAGGCAGCAGUGGGGAAUAUUGCACAAUGGGCGAAAGCCUGAUGCAGCGACGCCGCGUGAGCGAAGAAGUAUUUCGGUAUGUAAAGCUCUAUCAGCAGGGAAGAUAAUGACGGUACCUGACUAAGAAGCACCGGCUAAAUACGUGCCAGCAGCCGCGGUAAUACGUAUGGUGCAAGCGUUAUCCGGAUUUACUGGGUGUAAAGGGAGUGUAGGCGGUUUUACAAGUCUGAUGUGAAAGCCCGGGGCUCAACUCCGGUAUUGCAUUGGAAACUGUAGAACUAGAGUGUCGGAGGGGUAAGUGGAAUUCCUAGUGUAGCGGUGAAAUGCGUAGAUAUUAGGAGGAACACCAGUGGCGAAGGCGGCUUACUGGACGAUUACUGACGCUGAGGCUCGAAAGCGUGGGGAGCAAACAGGAUUAGAUACCCUGGUA